CUUAAUGCCUAAUCACCCUGUAUUUGGCACAGGUUUUUCAGCUUAUAAACAUGAGUACCAUCAAAUGGUUACUAUAAUUCCGAAUGAUCUUAGAAUGGGCACCAAAGCCAAUUACCUUUGUGAUUGUUAUUUUUAUUGUUUGGAGUUGUAGCAGUCGUAGCCCAUAUUACAAACUGCUUGAUCAGAUUACCUUUUUGGAUAUGCAAAAAAAUAAAAAUAAAGAACUAACUAAAAAAAAUGUUGAGGAGAAGAAAUGAAUGUGGAAGCCCAUACAUCUAUAUGAAAAAACAAAGAGAAGUAGUUGAGAAAUUAAUAUGGGCUAGCUGGAGAAUUUAAUAACAAAAGAAUCAGAAGAUUAGUGGAAUGAAAUAAUGACAGGUCGAAUUUUUCCUGGAAGUAUAUUUUAUAUGCAGUGCAAAAACAAAUACCUGUUUGGGAAGCUUUGGUUUUCCCUGGCCACAUAUCGUAGAUAGACUUAUUAGUCACUGAUUAGUUCACCGUCGAUAUGUAUAAAAGGGAUGUGAGCAAUCUUAUGCCAGUCUUCUCCUUCCUCCCUGCGGCAACGUGGCUUCAGUAGUGGACAGUCAUCAAAUAACAAUGCAAUGAGGGAAGUGGGAAGCCCCUCUUCUGGCAAGGAUUGGAGCUGAGGGCACUUGAAAAUAUAUAUGCGUUCGAGAUAGCCAAGAAGUUGAAGGCCCCUUUUGUUGAGUGAUUUGAGAUUCGGCAGAUCUCCGAAGCAGAGAUAUGUAAGAGUGGAGGGCAGCACCCCCUCCUCGGGGAACGACUCCAACACAUCUUCAGAUCCACCGAACAG
Long non-coding RNA from Rhododendron vialii, 814 nucleotides. RefSeq lists it as uncharacterized. The record is from RefSeq and is a predicted model, not a curated record. The transcript has 2 exons. Lineage: Eukaryota; Viridiplantae; Streptophyta; Magnoliopsida; Ericales; Ericaceae.